This 407-nucleotide ribosomal RNA is filed under the name uncultured microorganism. Its description in RNAcentral is "bacterial SSU rRNA". It matches the Rfam family "Archaeal small subunit ribosomal RNA", at positions 330 to 745 of the family's 1478-position model. The record is from RNAcentral.
GCGCACCAGGCGCGAAACUUUACAAUGUGCGAAAGCACGAUAAGGGAACUCUGAGUGCCUCCUAAGGAGGCUGUUCAGGUGUCUAAAAGCACCUGAAGGAAGGGCUGGGUAAGACCGGUGCCAGCCGCCGCGGUAACACCGGCAGCCCAAGUGGUAGCCACGUUUAUUGGGUCUAAAGCGUCCGUAGCCGGCUGGGUAAGUUCCUUGGGAAAUUUGGCUGCUUAACAGUCAAGCUUUCAGGGAAUACUGCCCGGCUUGGGACCGGGAGAGGUCAGAGGUACUCCAGGGGUAGGGGUGAAAUCCAUUAAUCCUUGGGGGACCACCGGUAGCGAAGGCGUCUGACCAGACCGGGUCCGACGGUGGGGACGAAGGCUAGGGGCGCGAACCGGAUUAGAUACCCCCGUAGU